AAGUGGAUAGUGAAACCUGGUGGCUCAACCAUUCAGACUAUUAUCCAAACUGCUAAGCUCGAGAAUGGUAGAGGUAGCUGGAAUUUCCUGUGUAGGAGUGAAAUCCGUAGAUAUAGGAAGGAACACCAAUGGCGUAGGCAGGCUACUGGACCAUUUCUGACGCUAAGGCACGAAAGCGUGGGGAGCGAACCGGAUUAGAUACCCGGGUAGUCCACGCCGUAAACGAUGGAUGCUA
RNAcentral lists this ribosomal RNA (235 nucleotides) under uncultured Candidatus Saccharibacteria bacterium. RNAcentral's name for it is "partial 16S ribosomal RNA". It matches the Rfam family "Bacterial small subunit ribosomal RNA", at positions 585 to 818 of the family's 1533-position model. Lineage: Bacteria; Candidatus Saccharimonadota. The record is from RNAcentral.